AUCUAUGACCAUCCUACCCUGAAACAAGCCUGAUCCCAUUUGAUCUUAGAAGCUAAGCAGGGUCGGGCCUGGUUAGUACUCGAAUGGGAGACCACCUAGGUAGACCAAGUGCUGUAGGCG
Molecule: ribosomal RNA, 120 nt
Organism: Pteropus vampyrus (large flying fox)
Lineage: Eukaryota; Metazoa; Chordata; Mammalia; Chiroptera; Pteropodidae
Source: Ensembl